GCGUGGGUUUGGAUUUAUGGCAGACCUAUCCCUGUGGGCCUCUCAUAGUGUCCCAUGCGAGAGCAAACUGUGACCCCAAACCAUUGCCUGGCCUCUGUCCAUGGGCUACUGGCACUGAGGCGGGUUACACAGCA
Cavia porcellus (domestic guinea pig) is the source of this 134-nucleotide small nucleolar RNA. Ensembl annotates it as small nucleolar RNA SNORA42/SNORA80 family. NCBI's taxonomy places the organism in Eukaryota, Metazoa, Chordata, Mammalia, Rodentia, Caviidae. The record is from Ensembl.